GUCGCGUAAGCGCCGCAGGCAGGAGCGGGGGACCCAAGGUAGGCGCCGGGCCCAGCACUUGAGGCUGGUCCGGCUAGGGGUGAAGUCGCGCGCCGGAAUCGGCAGAGGAAGGCGCGCGGCCGGGCAACUCAACCGGCCCGAACCCGACAGCUCACCUCGUAGGCGUCGGUGAGGGGAUCA
Streptomyces avermitilis MA-4680 = NBRC 14893 is the source of this 180-nucleotide regulatory RNA element. It matches the Rfam family "c-di-AMP riboswitch aptamer (ydaO/yuaA leader)". From Rfam's summary of the family: This family represents a conserved RNA structure found upstream of the ydaO and yuaA genes in Bacillus subtilis and related genes in other bacteria. The ydaO/yuaA element is thought to act as a genetic "off" switch for the ydaO and yuaA genes in its native state. Lineage: Bacteria; Bacillati; Actinomycetota; Actinomycetes; Kitasatosporales; Streptomycetaceae. The record is from Rfam.